RNAcentral lists this ribosomal RNA (768 nucleotides) under fungal endophyte. RNAcentral's name for it is "eukaryotic LSU rRNA". The stretch from base 548 to 768 matches the Rfam family "Eukaryotic large subunit ribosomal RNA", at positions 1 to 220 of the family's 3401-position model. Lineage: Eukaryota; Fungi. The record is from RNAcentral.
AACGGGUUGUCGCUGGCCUUUCACAAGGCAUGUGCACGCCUGGCUCAUCCACUCUCAACCUCUGUGCACUCUAUGUAAGAAACGGUGUAAGUCAGCCUUGAUUGGCAGGCAACAAGCUGUUUCUUAUGUUUCACUACACACGCUUCAGUUAUAGAAUGUCUUACUGUGUACAACACAAUUUAUAUACAACUUUCAGCAACGGAUCUCUUGGCUCUCGCAUCGAUGAAGAACGCAGCGAAAUGCGAUAAGUAAUGUGAAUUGCAGAAUUCAGUGAAUCAUCGAAUCUUUGAACGCACCUUGCACUCCUUGGUAUUCCGAGGAGUAUGCCUGUUUGAGUCUCAUGGAAUUCUCAACCCCUAAAUUUUGUAACGAGGUUUAGUGGGCUUGGACUUGGAGGUUGUGUCGGCUGUCAGUCGACUCCUCUGAAAUGCAUUAGUGUGAAUCUUACGGAUCGCCUUCAGUGUGAUAAUUAUCUGCGCUGCGGUGUUGAAGUAUUUAUAAGUUCACGCUUAUAAUCGUCUCUGACCGAGACAAUUAUUUGACAAUCUGAGCUCAAAUCAGGUAGGACUACCCGCUGAACUUAAGCAUAUCAAUAAGCGGAGGAAAAGAAACUAACAAGGAUUCCCCUAGUAACUGCGAGUGAAGCGGGAAAAGCUCAAAUUUAAAAUCUGGCGGCUUUGGUCGUCCGAGUUGUAUUCUAGAGAAGUGUUUUCCGCGUUGGACCGUGUAUAAGUCUCUUGGAACAGAGCGUCAUAGAGGGUGAGAAUC